AACCGAGAUUUCCCAAGUAGCGGCGAGCGAACGGGAAAGAGCCCAAAAGUAUAAUAUGUUCAAGUAGAACUGCAUGGAAAGGCAGAGGGGACAGAGUGAUACUCUCGUAUACGUAAGAGCAUAAUAUAUGAGCGUGAGUAGGGCGGGACACGUGGUAUCCUGUCUGAAUAUGGGGGGACCAUCCUCCAAGGCUAAAUACUACCUGACGACCGAUAGUGAACCAGUACCGUGAGGGAAAGGCGAAAAGAACCCCUGUAAGGGGAGUGAAAAAGAAUCUGAAACCGUGUGCGUACAAGCAGUGGGAGCCCGAAAGGGUGACUGCGUACCUUUUGUAUAAUGGGUCAGCGAGUUAUCUGUAUUAGCGAGGUUAACUUUGAUGAGGGAGCCGUAGGGAAACCGAGUCUUAAUAGGGCGAGAAGUUGAUGCAGGUAGACCCGAAACCGAGUGAUCUAGUCCUGGACAGGCUGAAAGCAGGGUAACACCUGCCGGAGGGCCGAACCUACUGUCGUUGCAAAGCCAGAGGAUGAUCUGGGACUAGGGGUGAAAGGCCAAUCAAACCCGGUGAUAGCUGGUUCUCCCCGAAAGCUAUUUAGGUAGCGUCCUGCAGGGGCGUAUGGGGGUAGAGCACUGUUAUAGGAAGGGGUUCAUUGCGAACUACCGACCUAUUGCAAACUACGAAUACCAUACAGUUGUAAGCAGGGGACACACAGUGGGUGCUAACGUUCAUUGUGAAGAGGGAAACAACCCGGACCGCCAGCUAAGGUCCCAAAGUUCUGAUUAAGUGGGAAACGAUGUGGGAAGGCAUAGACAGCCAGGAUGUUGGCUUAGAAGCAGCCAUCAUUUAAAGAAAGCGUAAUAGCUCACUGGUCGAGUCGGCCUGCGCGGAAGAUGUAACGGGGCUCAAAUCAGACACCGAAGCUGCGGAUUUGUACUUAGGUACAAGUGGUAGGGGAGCGUUGUGUAAGCCUGAGAAGAUGUACUGGAAGGUAUGUUGGAGGUAUCACAAGUGCGAAUGCUGACGCAAGUAACGAUAAAACGAGUUAAAUGCUCGUUCGCCGGAAGACCAAGGUUUCCUGUCCAACGUUAAACGGGGCAGGGUUAGUCGGAACCUAAGGCGAGGAUGAAAAUCGUAGUCGAAGGGAAACGGGUUAAUAUUCCCGUACUUGGAUAUGUUGCGAUGAGGUGACGGAGGAGGUAAGGUUAGCCAGCCGAUGGUUGUGCUGGUGAAAGGCAGUAGGUAGUAAGAAGGGUUAAAAGACUUUUUACGAUAAUCUGAGAGCCGAGACGAAUUAACUACGGUUAAGAAGUAACCCUAUCCAGACUUCCAGGAAAAGCCUCUAAGCUACAGACAUAUACAAUCCGUACCCCAAACCGACACAGGUGGUCGGGUAGAAGAUACCAAGGCGCUUGGGAGAACCCGGGUGAAGGAACUAGGCAAAAUUGUACCGUAACUUCGGGAGAAGGUACGCUGUGGUUUGUAAUAAGAUUUACUCUUAGAGCGAGCUGCAGCCGCAGAUAAAUGGUGGCUGGGACUGUUUAACAAAAACAUAGCACUCUGCAAACCUGAAAGGGGAAGUAUAGGGUGUGACACCUGCCCGGUGCCGGAAGGUUAAAUGAUGAGGUUAGAGCAAUCGAAGCCUCUGAGUGAAGCCCCGGUAAACGGCGGCCGUAACUAUAACGGUCCUAAGGUAGCGAAAUUCCUUGUCGGGCAAGUUCCGACCUGCACGAAUGGUGUAACCAUGGCCACGCUGUCUCCACCCGGGACCCAGUGAAACCGAAAUCGCUGUGAAGAUGCAGUGUACCCGCGGCUAGACGGAAAGACCCCGUGAACCUUUACUGCAGCUUGACACUGAACCUUGAACCUGUUUGUGCAGGAUAGGCGGGAGACUUUGAAGUAGAGACGCCAGUCUUUAUGGAGUCGACCUUGAAAUACCGCCCUGAUAUGUUUGAGGUUCUAACUUGAAGGUAACAGCCUUAAGGACAGUGUCUGGUGGGAAGUUUGACUGGGGCGGUCUCCUCCCAAAGAGUAACGGAGGAGCACGAAGGUCGGCUGAUCACGGUCGGAAACCGUGAGGUCAGUGCAAUGGCAAAAGCCGGCUUGACUGCGAGAGCAACAACUCGAGCAGGUGCGAAAGCAGGUCAUAGUGAUCCGGUGGUUCCAUAUGGACGGGCCAUCGCUCAACGGAUAAAAGGUACUCUGG
RNAcentral lists this ribosomal RNA (2201 nucleotides) under human gut metagenome. RNAcentral's name for it is "bacterial LSU rRNA". It matches the Rfam family "Bacterial large subunit ribosomal RNA", at positions 227 to 2471 of the family's 2925-position model. The record is from RNAcentral.